Long non-coding RNA from Poecilia latipinna (sailfin molly), 1671 nucleotides. RefSeq lists it as uncharacterized. Lineage: Eukaryota; Metazoa; Chordata; Actinopteri; Cyprinodontiformes; Poeciliidae. The record is from RefSeq and is a predicted model, not a curated record. The transcript is spliced from 2 exons.
UGUCUGCCAGGUACUUUAACUCCAAAUACCGAGCUCCCAAACAGACUCAGAGUCAAAUCAGCGAUGUCCAAAUGUCAGCCACUAAACCAGAGGAACAGCUGCAUUAUGGAGAAAUAACGUUUAGCAGAAAGACGCCUGAAACUUCCUCCAGAUUGGUGCAGCACAACGAACAGACUGUGUACGCGGAGGUGAAAUUGUCACAGCGAGAAAGCAGCUCUAAGCAGACUCCUGGGAACCCCGAGGAUGUUUGCUGCGAAGAAAAAAAAGAAUAACCUCUGUUGUGUGACGGCAGACAUCUAAAGUUUUGUCUGUGUAAGGGGAAAGGCUAUGAUAAAGAUGGAGAGUCUGCACCUCAAGACCUUGUCACCCUCCAAUGCGCGUGCUUCUGUCAGUUAUUAGGGAUGAACAACAUGGCUACCAAGAAAAAGUUGUUCAUCGCUUAAAGAUGAACAUACGUACGGAAACACAACUUUUAAUUUGUUCAGUUUAUAGUUAGCUGGUGCUACAUGUAAUAAUGUGGUGCUCUUCCAUCACAGAUGCUUCUGCUGAUGCCUGGAGCGGCCAUGUUGAUUUGUGAAUUUACAGUUACAAGUUGCAUCCCUCUGUCCCAGUGUGAAGUCCGACUUCGGGGGUCAUUCAAGUUGAUUUUUCCAAACGGGAAGUCAGAACGUCCGAGUUCCAACUGCAAAUGGAGCGCACCAAAUUCCUCAGCUUUAACAUUUGUGGAAAAAUAGAACAGUUUUUAGACUGUAAGCCAUGGAUCAUAAAAAUUUCAGAACCAUAUCAUUGCUGGUACUUCCUAAUAUGUAAAACAUGCAGACUAUUAGAGUUUGUACUUUCAUUUUGUUUUCUUACUUUAUUUUUUAUUUUUUUCACUUGGACCGUAACAAUAUAACAAAAUGUAUUAUGUGACUGAUAGAUUGUAGGUGAGUUGGCGUGUCAGGCGAUGGCUAGACUUCCCAUUUCUGCAGUGACUAGUGAUUAUUCACAAUUUGGAGUCAAAUUGUGCUACUGUAAAAGACAAUGCAUUAGUUCUCUGCAAUAUAAACAAGCUAUUAUGUGGACAAUGUUGCUAAUAUUUUUUGUUGUACCAGGAAGGGUUGCCUUCCCUUUUCUGAGGUUCAGUGAAAGGCAGAUGAUUUUAAAACUCAGUAAACGCACAAAUUAGGAAGUAAAGUUGUUGUUUUGUUUUUGUUUUGUUUCUGAAUCUCAGAAAAUGAUUGUUUUCUAUACAGUCACCUGCUGCCAGUAAAAUAAAGAGCACAUUUUUUCAGGAAUCGAAAUGUAUAAAUAAAUAGACCCCACAUGUUUCAGCAAAUUUUCCCUUCAUCACAGAAGUGACGACGCUUGUAAAAUAACAUGCUUAAUAACAUGCUCUAGCAUUUACUGGGCAAAUAUGCCAAUGUGUGUUUUUUAAUCAAAGCUGGUUGGAAAAUAUAACUUCUGUAAUCUUUAAAAAAAAAUGUUUGCCUCAUAAAUAAGCUGUGAGAAUUAUUCUUCAAUUGUUCUUUUUAACUUUUCCUUGACUUACGGGACAUGUUAAAUGCCUAUUUGAUCAAAUAAAUACUCUGCACUUUACAGUUCGUUAAAAAAAUAUGCAAGCAUCUGUCAGAAUUAGGUGAUUAUUAUUGCUUCUCUGCAAAUUCUGACCAAUAAAAAAAGUAGCUAAUA